Molecule: ribosomal RNA, 492 nt
Filed under: uncultured bacterium
Lineage: Bacteria
Description: partial 16S ribosomal RNA
Rfam family: Bacterial small subunit ribosomal RNA
Source: RNAcentral
AGUGAACGCUGGCGGUAGGCCUAGCACAUGCAAGUCGAACGGCAGCACAGUAAGAGCUUGCUCUUACGGGUGGCGAGUGGCGGACGGGUGAGGAAUACAUCGGAAUCUACUUUUUCGUGGGGGAUAACGUAGGGAAACUUACGCUAAUACCGCAUACGACCUACGGGUGAAAGCAGGGGAUCUUCGGACCUUGCGCGAUUGAAUGAGCCGAUGUCGGAUUAGCUAGUUGGCGGGGUAAAGGCCCACCAAGGCGACGAUCCGUAGCUGGUCUGAGAGGAUGAUCAGCCACACUGGAACUGAGACACGGUCCAGACUCCUACGGGAGGCAGCAGUGGGGAAUAUUGGACAAUGGGCGCAAGCCUGAUCCAGCCAUACCGCGUGGGUGAAGAAGGCCUUCGGGUUGUAAAGCCCUUUUGUUGGGAAAGAAAAGCAGCAGGUUAAUACCCCGCCGUUCUGACGGUACCCAAAGAAUAAGCACCGGCUAACUUCGUG